UGGGGAAUUUUGGACAAUGGGCGAAAGCCUGAUCCAGCAAUGCCGCGUGUGUGAAGAAGGCCUUCGGGUUGUAAAGCACUUUUGUCCAGAAAGAAAUCCUUGGCUCUAAUACAGUCGGGGGAUGACGGUACCGGAAGAAUAAGCACCGGCUAACUACGUGCCAGCAGCCGCGGUAAUACGUAGGGUGCAAGCGUUAAUCGGAAUUACUGGGCGUAAAGCGUGCGCAGGCGGUUUGCUAAGACCGAUGUGAAAUCCCCGGGCUCAACCUGGGAACUGCAUUGGUGACUGGCAGGCUAGAGUAUGGCAGAGGGGGGUAGAAUUCCACGUGUAGCAGGUGAAAUGCGUAGAGAUGUGGAGGAAUACCGAUGGCGAAGGCAGCCCCCUGGGCCAAUACUGACGCUCAUGCACGAAAGCGUGGGGAGCAAACGGGAUUAGAUACCCUGGUAGUCCACGCCCUAAACGAUGUCAACUAGUUGUUGGGGAUUCAUUUCCUUAGUAACGUAGCUAACGCGUGAAGUUGACCGCUGGGGAGUACGUCGCAAGAUUAAAACUCAAAUGAAUUGACGGGGUC
RNAcentral lists this ribosomal RNA (571 nucleotides) under uncultured bacterium. Its description in RNAcentral is "partial 16S ribosomal RNA". It matches the Rfam family "Bacterial small subunit ribosomal RNA", at positions 355 to 920 of the family's 1533-position model. The record is from RNAcentral.